Molecule: ribosomal RNA, 298 nt
Filed under: uncultured bacterium
Lineage: Bacteria
Description: partial 16S ribosomal RNA
Rfam family: Bacterial small subunit ribosomal RNA
Source: RNAcentral
GUAUCCUACGGGACGUAGCAGUGAGGAAUAUUGGUCAAUGGACGAGAGUCUGAACCAGCCAAGUAGCGUGAAGGAUGACUGCCCUAUGGGUUGUAAACUUCUUUUAUAAAGGAAUAAAACGAGGCACGUGUGCCUUUUUGCAUGUACUUUAUGAAUAAGGAUCGGCUAACUCCGUGCCAGCAGCCGCGGUAAUACGGAGGAUCCGAGCGUUAUCCGGAUUUAUUGGGUUUAAAGGGAGCGUAGAUGGGGUGUUAAGUCAGUUGUGAAAGUUUGCGGCUCAACCGUAAGAUAGUAAUUG